Molecule: ribosomal RNA, 251 nt
Filed under: uncultured bacterium
Lineage: Bacteria
Description: partial 16S ribosomal RNA
Rfam family: Bacterial small subunit ribosomal RNA
Source: RNAcentral
UACGGAGGGAGCUAGCGUUAUUCGGAAUUACUGGGCGUAAAGCGCACGUAGGCGGCUUUGUAAGUAAGAGGUGAAAGCCCAGAGCUCAACUCUGGAAUUGCCUUUAGACUGCAUCGCUUGAAUCAUGGAGAGGUCAGUGGAAUUCCGAGUGUAGAGGUGAAAUUCGUAGAUAUUCGGAAGAACACCAGUGGCGAAGGCGGCUGACUGGACAUGUAUUGACGCUGAGGUGCGAAAGCGUGGGAGCAAACAGG